Molecule: ribosomal RNA, 760 nt
Filed under: uncultured bacterium
Lineage: Bacteria
Description: bacterial SSU rRNA
Rfam family: Bacterial small subunit ribosomal RNA
Source: RNAcentral
GAUGAACGCUAGCUACAGGCUUAACACAUGCAAGUCGAGGGGCAGCGGGAUUGAAGCUUGCUUCAAUUGCCGGCGACCGGCGCACGGGUGAGUAACGCGUAUCCAACCUUCCGCUUACUCGGGGAUAGCCUUUCGAAAGGAAGAUUAAUACCCGAUGGUAUCUUAAGCACGCAUGAGAUUAAGAUUAAAGAUUUAUCGGUAAGCGAUGGGGAUGCGUUCCAUUAGGCAGUUGGCGGGGUAACGGCCCACCAAACCUACGAUGGAUAGGGGUUCUGAGAGGAAGGUCCCCCACAUUGGAACUGAGACACGGUCCAAACUCCUACGGGAGGCAGCAGUGAGGAAUAUUGGUCAAUGGGCGAGAGCCUGAACCAGCCAAGUAGCGUGAAGGAUGACGGCCCUACGGGUUGUAAACUUCUUUUGUGCGGGAAUAAAGGAACCUACGUGUAGGUUUUUGCAUGUACCGUAACGAAUAAGCAUCGGCUAACUCCGUGCCAGCAGCCGCGGUAAUACGGAGGAUGCGAGCGUUAUCCGGAUUUAUUGGGUUUAAAGGGAGCGUAGACGGGUUUUUAAGUCAGCUGUGAAAGUUUGGGGCUCAACCUUAAAAUUGCAGUUGAAACUGGAGACCUUGAGUACGGUUGAGGCAGGCGGAAUUCGUGGUGUAGCGGUGAAAUGCUUAGAUAUCACGAAGAACCUCGAUUGCGAAGGCAGCCUGCUAAGCCGCCACUGACGUUGAGGCUCGAAAGUGCGGGUAUCAAACAGG